GCUCAGGUAGUUUAUAUAAAACAUUAUUUUUGUAAAAUAAUAAUAGAUUUUAAGUCUUCUGAGUA
This 65-nucleotide transfer RNA is filed under the name Falcolipeurus suturalis. RNAcentral's name for it is "tRNA-Thr". Lineage: Eukaryota; Metazoa; Arthropoda; Insecta; Psocodea; Philopteridae. The record is from RNAcentral.